AAUAUUUUAAGUCUGUCCACGUCUUCUGUGUUCUGGACAGAUGUUAUGUUCUAUCGUUCACUGGUCUCAUACCACUGCCCAGUACACAGAGAACAUAUAAAGCCACCGCCUCAAGCACUAUCUGCUUAUAUACGUUGCUUAGCUGUUAGCACCACCAUGGACAUCAGUUUGGUAUUACUAGCUGAUUCAUCUCUUGAUCUUGCUACUUUCAAGCCACGCUUCUACCUUCUUUGAUUCCUUUCCCUCAAAAUUUCUAGAAUUCCCGUUUUCGUUUGCUUUCAUAAAAUAAAACCUCCAAAAUCUUGAAACAAAGCAGAGAAAUAAAGAAACGAUCUUCGUCAUGGUUUUCCCGAAAUCAACCCCUUUCACUUGCUCCUGUGUCAGUGAUGGCCAUAGUUUGUCGGUUGUUGAAAUUGGGUGUUCCAUGGUUGUCUCUUCUCUUCCCUCUGUUAGCACCACCAUUGUUUUGACCUCUACCUGUUCUCAUUCUCUUUCUGUUUCUCUCUAGAAGCGAUUUCACUAAAGGAUUUCUUUUGAAUUUGUUGGAAUCAUAAUCGGGGAAAAUUGGAUCCCCGUAGUUUCCAUAGACGUUACCACCGCCACCUCCGAUCAAUCUACCUCCACUCCGGGCUCAAUUCGUCAUCCCGUUUUACCUUCUUUUCGUUGAUUUUAUGAGGCUGCCAACAAGCAAAGAUCAUCUGCCAAUUUCAAUUAUCUGCGAGGUUGUUAAUUUUCUAGAUACCCCUUUCACCACACACUGAAAUGCUCUCUAAAAUGUCACAGUUUUUCAGAAGAUGAAGACACAGAUGCGAUAAAAAUGGAGGAAAAUGGAAGUAGGGGUUAAUAUCUGAUUUCAAGUCUCGAACCCUAAAACAUCACCUUUGAUUGUUUUAAGAUUGCAAAGGGCGCCAUCAUGCUUAGAAUGUUUGAAAUUUAUGCCAUAAGAUGAAACUGCAAAAGAACCAAUCUUAUUAUCUUGUACAAACAGAUAAUUGACAUCCUAUACCCACUUAAAGACAUUCUAUGAGCUGGUGUUUUGUUCAAAUGUUUGAAGAAUCUUUCACUAACUUCAGAUGUGUACAUGUCUUUUAGCAUAAAACAAUCUCAUUUUAUUUUUGUGGAUCAGGCCUGAAGAUUUCGAAAAACCAAAGCAUAUAAAAUUUUACAAAUCUGUAUUAACAUGUGAGAAAGCACCCAUAUCAAUUGCACUAUUAUCAAAGCUCUUCCUUUUUCUUUUACUCUUCAAGUUCUUUAUCCACAAUUACUCUUGGCAAUAUAUUAUAGUAACUGAUUUCUAUUGUGGUUAUUAUGUGUUGUAGGUGUAUGAGGUAUGCUGUAGGAGGAGAAAACCCUUAUACGUAUUGCCAUAUCAUCUUCAGAUUUUGAUAACAUUUUGGGUGGUGGAAUAAGUUGCAAGGAAGUCAUUGAAAUUGGUUUGUUGUUUAGAGAUACGUUUUCUUUUUGUUUACUUCAACCACAUAUGCUAAUAUUCCAACUUUUCUCCCAUUUUUGUUUUCUGAUUAUCUGGAGUUCCAGGCAUUGGUAAAACACAAUUUAGGUAUACUAUAAUGUUGAUAUAGCCUGUUAAGUUGACUCAACAACAAUUUCAGAAAUUUGUGAACAUCUUAUAUUGGUUUGUCAUUAUUUUAAAUCCAUCUAUUAUUAUUUUUGAUUAACAAGAAUAUAGUUAACUUAUGAAUGAAUACAUGACAUCUGUGAAGUAAAAUUACAGGGAAAACGUCCUCAUUCAGUUUGAAAAUUUUCCUAACCACAACAUGUUUAAUCUUUUGGUUUUAACGAUGAUAUCCAUGUACCAAAUAUAAGAGCAAAUAUUUGUAACUUUUUUUACUUUUUAUUUUUAAUAAUUUUUAUUAAUUUUUCAUGUGACAAAACCAUUAUCGUUCAUUAUUGAGACAAGUAAUUGUAUUUUACAGAAGAUAUUCAGAUAUUAGUUAUGGAAACUUUUGAUUCUGAAAUCUGGAUUAAACGAUAUAUUUAUUAUUUUUCAAAAUUUUAAAUGAUGUUAUGAUAUUUUAGGAAGCUUGCAUUUAUUUAUUAUUUUCCAAAAUUUACAUGAUGUUAUGAUAUUUUAGGAAGCUUGCAUUGCAUUACAUGCCAACAAAUGGUCCAAGUGCUUGGAAGAACCAUGUACCCUCUAUAAUAUUGUAACGCCCGUUUUUCAGGCUGGUCAUUAUUGUUGAUGUAAUAGUCUAGGUUAACCAUUGUAACUCUUUUUGAAGUAUUAAUGAUGAAAUAUUUGAGUAUUCUGUGAA
Long non-coding RNA from Lactuca sativa (garden lettuce), 2273 nucleotides. RefSeq lists it as uncharacterized. The record is from RefSeq and is a predicted model, not a curated record. NCBI's taxonomy places the organism in Eukaryota, Viridiplantae, Streptophyta, Magnoliopsida, Asterales, Asteraceae.